UCUACGGUAAUUUGUUUUAGAGUUAUACCAACAACCAAAAUGAUUUUGUCGAAAACCAAUUUUGCAUAAAAAUUCCCGUUUUUCCUUGAUUUUUCCAGUGCUUUUGAAUACUACUGGAAAUAUUGACAUUCCCAAUGCACCAACAAGAUUCAUUUUCCCAUCGAACAAGAUACUGAAGUUGAAAAUCGAAGCAUUACUUCGACUGCUUAUCGUGUACAGACACAAAAAAAAACACAUCAUUGUAAAACAAUACAUUUAUCACUCAGCUCAGAAUCUAAAAUAGAGUUUUCAGGCUGAACACGUCGACGUUUUCUGGAUUUAAAUAAUUUGCCUUCAUGGGCAUGAUAUUAGUGGAUCAAUUACAUUAAUACUACCUUAAAUUAACUUAAAAUUAACUUUCAGAGGUAUGUGCAAAUUUAAAAUAGAUUUGGCUGACUUGGAGUCUAAGUUGGAGACUAGGGCCAGGAUCACAAUACUACUGGCUACUGCUGCUAUAAAUAAUAAUAUACCUGUAUAAUUAUAUAUUUUAUUAUAUUAUAAUAUUAUAGUAGUAUAAUAUUAGAUAGAGUUGUAUAGUUUUUAAGAUCUUAAAUGUAUAUUGACAUAAUGUUACUCUACAAAACUACUUUUUGUCAAGUUUAAGGGUAUUGCGAAUUUAAAUUUAAUAAAUUCCAUUGUUUAUGACAUAGAGACUUCGGCGUCUAUUGAUUAUUCAUUAUAAUACUAUAGUAAUAUAGCAUAGGUACUACUCUUAGUAUUUGCAGAGAUUGAGAAUACAUCACUACAUCAGAUAUCGGUUUAGUCAGUUAUUCUAAACCGCUUAUUCCCGAGCGGUAGCUCUGUUAAAUCAUCUCGUUAUAGUCGAACCCUCUAAAGUAGGUCCCUAGCUGAAACUUAAACAGAAAGGGCAUUCGAAUUCGAAAACAACGUUUAGGUACAGACUACAGUGUUGCCGUCACAACAGUUGUUUAAGCAAAAAUGAAAAUAAUAAAAAUCGAUGCGAGUUAUCAAAUUGUUGUUAAGUCACCUGUCUGUUAUCAAAUAAUGUUUAUUAAAUAACUAGGUAACAAUAAUACAGUUUUAAAUAAGAUUAUAUUACGCUACUUAUGAAGUUAUGAAUGAGUGAUAAUUACUACACACAGUUUCUAUCAUUUUUUUUUUACAUCAAUAAAUAUACUAUAUAUCUGACCUUGCUCAUUGUACAGCUUCAUUUCAGAGCUGCCUAUCAAAAAUUAUUCCAAUGGUCUUUGCGUCAGCGUUUCCAUUGCCAAAUUCAAACACAUUUCGAUCUUGUUAUUUUUGUUGGGCUCUAAUGAUAUUUAUUUGUUACCAAAUUAGUGAUUUUCUUUUUUGAUUACAAUCUACAUAGUAUCUGUAGUCUGCAGCAUACUGUAGGUUUCCGAUUUGCUCAUAUUUUUAUUACAUAUUUGUUUGCGUAAUUAUUUCUAAUUUAAUAAGUGCAUAAUAUAUUAUUUACAUAUUAUUUAUAUUUGUUAUUAAUACAGUUAAUAGUGACUAGUGACAAUCAUUUUACAAUACUACAAUCGUAUAGUGACGAGCUUUUAUUCAUUAUAUUUCGUAAUUAGUAAAAUCAUAACGGAAAAAUAGUAAAAAUUUUAACAAGUAUACGGAGUGUUAUUUUAGAGAUUCUGUAUGUAAUAUUUUGUUUUGAAAUAGUACAAAUUAAAAUUAAAAUAUUGUACAUCAUCAUAAUUUUGUUAAAUUAUUGUUGAUAUUACGUUACUUAGUUAAGAAGUUAAGGACUAAAUAAUAUUAUAUCAAACAUUAAAUACUAUCAACGAGUUAGGUACUUAAUGAAUUUGAUAAAGUGCGUAAACAAAACACAGGUACUAAUAUCUUAUCAUUAAUUAUUUAUAGCUAUUCAGAAGAUUUAUCAACAAAAAAUUGUUUUUGGUUACAAUCGGGAUUAUAUGUUAUAUUUUGUAUAUUAUCUUUACGUAAUCUUGUAAUAUAUUAUAUUGUGUAUAAUAUAUAUAUAUCUAUUUGUGGUAAUUAAAUUUUUAACUGUUAGCAAUAUGCCUUCCCCGAUUAUUAUUAUAAUUGUUAUAAUUAUUAUUACUAUUAUUUUUAUUUGCUGUAAGUAAUAUCUGAAUUAUUACAUAUUUGUUACAAAUUCUGCCAUACCAACCCUAUUAAUUUAGUAAUAGUUGAUACCUUAUAAGAUGUUAGGUUUUUAAUUUGUUACAAUCUAUGACUAGGUAGUGGUCAAAACAAAUUAUUUUGAACGCAAAUGUUUAAUUGUAUUCAGCAGUGGUAUAAUUGUGGAGAAAUGGAAGGCCAAAAUAAAAUGCAUGUUCAACAAAAA
Molecule: long non-coding RNA, 2326 nt
Organism: Acyrthosiphon pisum (pea aphid)
Lineage: Eukaryota; Metazoa; Arthropoda; Insecta; Hemiptera; Aphididae
Exons: 2
Source: RefSeq, a predicted model, not a curated record